UCAGCUUAUGGUGAUGGAAAGAGAGAUGUCAAUAAUUCCACAUUUUCUGGCUUGCAUUGUUUGAUGAAAGGUGACCCCAUUCCCUGAGUUAAAGAAUGCUGAAAGAAGACCAGGCUUGAGGAGGAAGGAUCAUGCAUUUGCUUUUGGACCUGUAGAGUUUGAGGACAUGUUCAGCACCAGGAGGAAUUUGCAUCCAAGUCCGUCUCCCUGCUAAGUGGUAUUUUGAGAAUUCCGAAGCUUAGUCUCAGAGAAGAGCUGACCUGAACUUGCCGAGGCUCCCACUGCAUUGUAGCUUUUCUCUGGAGAACAAAAACUGCCAUUGUCCAGCAGCUCAUUAGCAUGACUGUACAGCCUCCGGAGUUAGCAAGGUGAUGCAAAAAUAAUAUGACAAGAUCCAUGUCUUCAAUGAGCUACAAUCCUACUGGGACAUGAGACUGUGCUUAUAAUAUGAUGAAAGAAUAAGAAAAUUUUAAAGCUAUAACAGGCAGAGCACAAGAACAAGCAGAGCUAUAACAAGCAGAGCACAAGAAGGAAGAGUGCAGAUCCAGGACUGGGACACUUAACCAAUAAUAAUACAAAUAGUGAGUACUGUUAGUUGAUUUUCCAGGCUCCUCUUCUCACUUGUAAUGGAAUUACAAAUUAUUUUGUUGGUCAUUGACACUAACCCCAGAUUCAGAAGGAGAUUUGAUUAGAGUAGUGUGAGUAUAAUCUCAUUGCUACUUCCAUAGCAAUUGGUUUGGGGUGAAUACUGUUGGGUGACAGCAGAGGGAGAUUAUUUCAUUUCCUGUGAUCUGUGUUCAAGGAAUUAUGGUGUUUUAAUUGCUGCUAGUAGCACUUUACUUUAGGAUGAAACCUGGUACAUACAUGUAAAGCACUUUAAACAGUUCCUGGUGCAAAGUAAAUGCUUAACAUGUGUUCUUUAUUGCUAUGGUUUGAAUGUAUGUGCCCCUCCAAAAUUCAUUUGUUGGAACUUAAACCCCAAGGUGAUGGUAUUAAGAGAUGGAGCCUUUGGAAGGUGACUGAGCCAUAAGCGCUCUGCCCUCAUUGAUGGGAUUAGUGCCCUCAUAAAAGAGCUUGAGGAGCUAGUUCUCCCUUUUUGUCCUUUUGCCCUUCC
Molecule: long non-coding RNA, 1114 nt
Filed under: Homo sapiens (human)
Lineage: Eukaryota; Metazoa; Chordata; Mammalia; Primates; Hominidae
Description: HSALNT0377167
Source: RNAcentral